Triticum dicoccoides is the source of this 688-nucleotide long non-coding RNA. RefSeq lists it as uncharacterized. NCBI's taxonomy places the organism in Eukaryota, Viridiplantae, Streptophyta, Magnoliopsida, Poales, Poaceae. The record is from RefSeq and is a predicted model, not a curated record. The transcript has 3 exons.
CGAGCGGAUCGUUCGCUGACAGAGAGGAGGGGAGACGACGCAGACGAAGAGGCGACCCCGCCCAACGCCCAGGAGACGCAGGCGAUACGACCGCGGAUCAACUUUGUGCGGCAUUCAUGGCGGAUGAUGUGUGCCCCUUGCCAGCGGUGACUAAUGGAUGUCUCUCUGUUUUCUCGUCCUUCUGCUGCCUCAGUUCAGGCACGUGUAUAUAUAUACUUCUUCCUCUACCACUCUCAACUCACCCUUUCCACUCCGGCGAUAGAAUAUCCAUCAGCAUGGUGCUUUGCUAGGUAAAAAAAGCCUUCCAUAAUCGCUUCUCUCGAUCUCCCUACUUUGCUCGUUUGUCUCCGUCCACCCCCAGCACCGCUAUGCUUGUAGCGGAAACCCAAGUGGCAACCGUGUUGGCAGGUUAACCGGAAACUCCAGAAGUGGCGGUCAUGCCCCCUUCAAUGUCUUUAAGCACAUCCACGGUCCGUCUGCUGUGGUCGCUGCAAUGUGUACCACAAAAGUUAGGUGGUGCUGAAUUCGUUAGAUAAAUUAUUAUUUUUGAAGUGAAUCAGUAAAUCGCUGCGGUGUAAUAUAUGAGGAGUUUCAUUCAACUGAAUUAUAUUUUCAGUUUUGCUAAAGCAUAUCUAGAUGUGCCAUAAGUAUUGUACAUCUAAGUCAUAUGUCAUUGAUUUUACAUUGA